This is a long non-coding RNA of Serinus canaria (Common canary), 359 nucleotides long. RefSeq lists it as uncharacterized. The transcript is spliced from 2 exons. The record is from RefSeq and is a predicted model, not a curated record. Lineage: Eukaryota; Metazoa; Chordata; Aves; Passeriformes; Fringillidae.
CUCGCUCGCUCGCAGCCGCCUCAUAAGUUCGUGCCUCCCGGCCGAGAUAGCGGAGCAACUAGCAAGAGCCCCGGCGGCGCGGUCUCAGAGAGACAGAGAGCCGGCCUCGCGUCCCGGGGCCGCCCCGUCGGCAGCACGCGGGCCUGCGGUGUUAUGGAGAGAGACUGCAAAGCCACAAACUCUGUGUCAAGGCCAAAGACAAAGGAGUUUUCUGGUGCUCCUGUUGAAGGUGAUGGAGAAGGCAUCAGGGCAAUGCUGUGUGCUGCCCAGGACACACUGGUGAACGUGGUAAAUGUGUUACUGCUUUUUGAUCUUCUAAAAUUACAGUGAAUAAAAUAAUAAACACCACCACACAUUCA